ACAUGCUUACAACAUAGAAUUAAUGCAUCAUAUUUCAUUCGAACUUCGCAUUUAAGAACACUCGGGCUAAAAUAGUACUGGGAUGGGGAACCGCCCUGGAAGUCCUAGUGUUUUACAUGCU
Molecule: non-coding RNA, 121 nt
Organism: Picea glauca (white spruce)
Lineage: Eukaryota; Viridiplantae; Streptophyta; Pinopsida; Pinales; Pinaceae
Source: Rfam